This 509-nucleotide ribosomal RNA is filed under the name Streptococcus agalactiae. RNAcentral describes it as "bacterial SSU rRNA". It matches the Rfam family "Bacterial small subunit ribosomal RNA", at positions 34 to 525 of the family's 1533-position model. Lineage: Bacteria; Bacillati; Bacillota; Bacilli; Lactobacillales; Streptococcaceae. The record is from RNAcentral.
CGCUGGCGGCGUGCCUAAUACAUGCAAGUAGAACGCUGAGGUUUGGUGUUUACACUAGACUGAUGAGUUGCGAACGGGUGAGUAACGCGUAGGUAACCUGCCUCAUAGCGGGGGAUAACUAUUGGAAACGAUAGCUAAUACCGCAUAAGAGUAAUUAACACAUGUUAGUUAUUUAAAAGGAGCAAUUGCUUCACUGUGAGAUGGACCUGCGUUGUAUUAGCUAGUUGGUGAGGUAAAGGCUCACCAAGGCGACGAUACAUAGCCGACCUGAGAGGGUGAUCGGCCACACUGGGACUGAGACACGGCCCAGACUCCUACGGGAGGCAGCAGUAGGGAAUCUUCGGCAAUGGACGGAAGUCUGACCGAGCAACGCCGCGUGAGUGAAGAAGGUUUUCGGAUCGUAAAGCUCUGUUGUUAGAGAAGAACGUUGGUAGGAGUGGAAAAUCUACCAAGUGACGGUAACUAACCAGAAAGGGACGGCUAACUACGUGCCAGCCGCCGCGGUAAUU